RNAcentral lists this ribosomal RNA (251 nucleotides) under uncultured bacterium. Its description in RNAcentral is "partial 16S ribosomal RNA". It matches the Rfam family "Bacterial small subunit ribosomal RNA", at positions 524 to 776 of the family's 1533-position model. The record is from RNAcentral.
UACGUAGGGUGCGAGCGUUAAUCGGAAUUACUGGGCGUAAAGCGUGCGCAGGCGGUUUUGCAAGCCGGAUGUGAAAUCCCCGGGCUCAACCUGGGAAUGGCAUUUGAGACUGCAUGGCUAGAGUGUGUCAGAGGGGGUGGAAUUCCGCGUGUAGCAGUGAAAUGCGUAGAGAUGCGGAGGAACACCGAUGGCGAAGGCAGCCCCCUGGGCUAACACUGACGCUCAGGCACGAAGCGUGGGGAGCAAACAGG